Molecule: ribosomal RNA, 497 nt
Filed under: uncultured bacterium
Lineage: Bacteria
Description: partial 16S ribosomal RNA
Rfam family: Bacterial small subunit ribosomal RNA
Source: RNAcentral
GAUGAACGCUGGCGGCGUGCCUAAUACAUGCAAGUCGAGCGAACAGACGAGGAGCUUGCUCCUCUGACGUUAGCGGCGGACGGGGGAGUAACACGUGGAUAACCUACCUAUAAGACUGGGAUAACUUCGGGAAACCGGAGCUAAUACCGGAUAAUAUAUUGAACCGCAUGGUUCAAUAGUGAAAGACGGUUUUGCUGUCACUUAUAGAUGGAUCCGCGCCGCAGUAGCUAGUUGGUAAGGUAACGGCUUACCAAGGCGACGAUGCGUAGCCGACCUGAGAGGGUGAUCGGCCACACUGGAACUGAGACACGGUCCAGACUCCUACGGGAGGCAGCAGUAGGGAAUCUUCCGCAAUGGGCGAAAGCCUGACGGAGCAACGCCGCGUGAGUGAUGAAGGUCUUCGGAUCGUAAAACUCUGUUAUUAGGGAAGAACAAAUGUGUAAGUAACUAUGCACGUCUUGACGGUACCUAAUCAGAAAGCCACGGCUAACUACGUG